Syngnathoides biaculeatus (alligator pipefish) is the source of this 1108-nucleotide long non-coding RNA. RefSeq lists it as uncharacterized. The record is from RefSeq and is a predicted model, not a curated record. Lineage: Eukaryota; Metazoa; Chordata; Actinopteri; Syngnathiformes; Syngnathidae. The transcript is spliced from 7 exons.
GAAGUGUCGGCGAGGGCGUACACAAACACUUAUGAGGACGCGUCGCCACUUUGACAUUUGUACUACGGAGCAAUGAUGAUGGACACCUCACAGCGUCAGUCACUUCUGGAGUGGUUCUACCAUGGCGCUGUGCGAGCCCUUUAAAGCGUGAACGAGGCAGCGUGCGGAAAGGUCACCGACGGCCAAGAAGAGGGCUUCACGGGCACGUAUGUGCAGUAUAUCGUCACACUUUUGGAUCUUGGUGUCAGAAUUGGGAUCCUAGACCAUCACCGCUGGACUCUCCUUGCUUCUACACCCAAUUGUCUUCCAUGAUGUGCUUUCUUGCAGAUUUGAGUGGGCCGAUCAAUAGUACUCUCUUCCAAGGAUGGUUCGAUACCUCCUUUAAUCACGUCCAAUGUCGUUAACCCAGGCGCACCUCCGAGUAUCUGACAACGCCAGCUUCCUGAAGAGUUGACGUCUUUUCUAAAUAAGAGACAUUAGUAGACUUCAGGAGGCAUCCUUCUCCACAGCAUGCCCCUGACGCUGUCCAACUGUCUUGUGUCAACUGUCGAGACCUUCAAGUUCUUGGGAAUUAGUCUCAGAGGACCUGAACUGGGAGACUAACAUCAACUCCAUCCUCAAAAAAGCCCAGCAAAGGAUGUACUUCUUGCGGCUUCUGAGGAACCACGGCCUGUCACAGGAGCUGCUGAGACGGUUCUGUACAGCGGUACAUCCAAUGAGUACUGUGCACCGCCAUCACUGUCUGGUUUGGGGCCGCCACAUAAAUAGGACAAACUCCGAUCGCAAUGGACAAUCAAAACCGCUGCACGGAUCGUCAGCACCACGCUACCUACUAACGAGGACUUGCACACAAUACAAAACUAGGUCCAGAGCAGGCAGGCUCCUUUCGGACCCUCCAGAUCCUGGUCCACCAGUUCUUCCGGCUCCUUCCAUCUGGAAAGCGCUACAGAUCAAUGAAAAUCAAAAGUAGCAGGACACUCACUCACAUCCUGCUGGUCCAUUCAGAACCGAGUACCGCAAACAGCUUGCCUGGAUGAAGAUCCGAUACGUUCAAGCCGCGGCCAAACUACGCUGUCUGAAAGCCAACGACUGUAUGUCGAAGCCAAAA